UGCAUCGGCCGGGAAUCGAACCCGGGCCGCCCGCGUGGCAGGCGAAACCACUUUACCACUUUUUUUUUUUACCAUUGAACCACCGAUUC
Non-coding RNA from Cordylochernes scorpioides, 89 nucleotides. The record is from the annotation of a GenBank genome assembly. Lineage: Eukaryota; Metazoa; Arthropoda; Arachnida; Pseudoscorpiones; Chernetidae.